Molecule: long non-coding RNA, 579 nt
Organism: Ochotona princeps (American pika)
Lineage: Eukaryota; Metazoa; Chordata; Mammalia; Lagomorpha; Ochotonidae
Exons: 4
Source: RefSeq, a predicted model, not a curated record
UUACAGGUUGCCAACUGGUUCCUUAAUUCUCUACUUGCUGGCCAAAUGGGAAGUGCUGGGGAAAAUCAGAGCAAAUGACAAAAGAAAAUAGGAUUCCUGGAAUCUCUGAGGAGUGGAGAAACCAUAGAUUGCAGCUUCGGGCAUGUGCUUACUGCUUUGGAUACCUCAAGGUACCUUUUAGAAGCGAGGGUAAUGCGAGAAACGUGCCUGGUUUCAGCUUCCUGAUGAAAAAGCAGCAGAAGACGAGCCAGGACUGGGAGAACUGGAAGAAACUCCUGGUUCCUGGCUUCUAACCACACAGCUCUAGUUGCUGCAGCCGUUUGCACAGGAAUUGUAGUGGCUGUGACCCUGGAUGAGAGAAGACACUCAUCAGAAAAUGUGCGUGGAGCUGUCUCCUGGUGAAACAGGAUGAUGUGUCUUUGGGGACAGUCUAGGUUAGGUUUCCAGGUCCACUUAGCUACCAAGGUUAUUGUCACAUUACAUAACUGCCCCCCCUGCUCCGAGUCUCACUUUCCUUAUUGUUUUUUAAUCAGAAGGUAUAAUAACACCCACAGGCUUGUUAUGAAGAUUAUAUGAAAU